Molecule: small RNA, 124 nt
Filed under: Marmota monax (woodchuck)
Lineage: Eukaryota; Metazoa; Chordata; Mammalia; Rodentia; Sciuridae
Source: RNAcentral
GCAGGCACAGUGGCGCAUGCCUGUAAUCCCAGCAGCUCAGGAUGCUGAGACAGGAGGAUCACAGGUUCAAAGACAGCCUCAGCAAAAGCAAAGAGCUAAGCAACUCGGUGAGACCCUGUCUCUA